This 460-nucleotide ribosomal RNA is filed under the name uncultured bacterium. Its description in RNAcentral is "partial 16S ribosomal RNA". It matches the Rfam family "Bacterial small subunit ribosomal RNA", at positions 28 to 499 of the family's 1533-position model. The record is from RNAcentral.
GACGAACGCUGGCGGCGUGCUUAACACAUGCAAGUCGAACGGAAAGGCCCUGCUUUUGUGGGGUGCUCGAGUGGCGAACGGGUGAGUAACACGUGAGUAACCUGCCCUUGACUUUGGGAUAACUUCAGGAAACUGGGGCUAAUACCGGAUAGGAGCUCCUGCUGCAUGGUGGGGGUUGGAAAGUUUCGGCGGUUGGGGAUGGACUCGCGGCUUAUCAGCUUGUUGGUGGGGUAGUGGCUUACCAAGGCUUUGACGGGUAGCCGGCCUGAGAGGGUGACCGGCCACAUUGGGACUGAGAUACGGCCCAGACUCCUACGGGAGGCAGCAGUGGGGAAUAUUGCACAAUGGGCGGAAGCCUGAUGCAGCAACGCCGCGUGCGGGAUGACGGCCUUCGGGUUGUAAACCGCUUUCGCCUGUGACGAAGCGUGAGUGACGGUAAUGGGUAAAGAAGCACCGGCUA